Molecule: ribosomal RNA, 433 nt
Filed under: uncultured bacterium
Lineage: Bacteria
Description: partial 16S ribosomal RNA
Rfam family: Bacterial small subunit ribosomal RNA
Source: RNAcentral
AACGAACGCUGGCGGCAUGACUAACACAUGCAAGUCGAACGAGACCUUCGGGUCUAGUGGCGCACGGGUGCGUAACGCGUGGGAAUCUGCCCUUGGGUUCGGAAUAACAGUGAGAAAUUACUGCUAAUACCGGAUGAUGUCUUCGGACCAAAGAUUUAUCGCCCAGGGAUGAGCCCGCGUAGGAUUAGCUAGUUGGUGGGGUAAUGGCCUACCAAGGCGACGAUCCUUAGCUGGUCUGAGAGGAUGAUCAGCCACACUGGGACUGAGACACGGCCCAGACUCCUACGGGAGGCAGCAGUGGGGGAUAUUGGACAAUGGGCGCAAGCCUGAUCCAGCAAUGCCGCGUGAGUGAUGAAGGCCUUAGGGUUGUAAAGCUCUUUUACCCGGGAUGAUAAUGACAGUACCGGGAGAAUAAGCUCCGGCUAACUCCGUG